UCCCUGGUGGCUCAGACGGUAAAGCAUCUGCCUGCAAUGCGGGAGACCCAGGUUUGAUUCCUGGGUCGGGAA
RNAcentral lists this transfer RNA (72 nucleotides) under Bos taurus (domestic cattle). It matches the Rfam family "tRNA". From Rfam's summary of the family: Transfer RNA (tRNA) molecules are approximately 80 nucleotides in length. Their secondary structure includes four short double-helical elements and three loops (D, anti-codon, and T loops). Lineage: Eukaryota; Metazoa; Chordata; Mammalia; Artiodactyla; Bovidae. RNAcentral also lists the same sequence under 2 other names. The record is from Rfam by way of RNAcentral.